GGGCUCCUUCGGGAGCACCGGCGGACUGCUCAGUAACACGUGGACAACCUACCCUCGGGUGGGGGAUAACCUCGGGAAACUGAGGCUAAUACCCCAUAGGCCUCGGAUACUGGAAGGUUCCGAGACCGAAAGCUCCGGCGCCCGAGGAUGGGUCUGCGGCCUAUCAGGUAGUUGGUGGUGUAAAGGACCACCAAGCCUACGACGGGUACGGGCCCUGAGAGGGGGAGCCCGGAGAUGGACUCUGAGACACGAGUCCAGGCCCUACGGGGCGCAGCAGGCGCGAAACCUUCGCAAUGCGCGAAAGCGCGACGAGGGGAGCCCGAGUGCCCUUCCUUUCGGGAGGGCUUUUCUGGAGCCUAAAAAGCUCCAGGAAUAAGGGCUGGGCAAGACGGGUGCCAGCCGCCGCGGUAAUACCCGCAGCUCGAGUGGUGACCAC
RNAcentral lists this ribosomal RNA (436 nucleotides) under uncultured archaeon. Its description in RNAcentral is "bacterial SSU rRNA". It matches the Rfam family "Archaeal small subunit ribosomal RNA", at positions 62 to 498 of the family's 1478-position model. The record is from RNAcentral.